RNAcentral lists this ribosomal RNA (432 nucleotides) under uncultured bacterium. RNAcentral describes it as "partial 16S ribosomal RNA". It matches the Rfam family "Bacterial small subunit ribosomal RNA", at positions 30 to 507 of the family's 1533-position model. The record is from RNAcentral.
CGAACGCUGGCGGCAGGCCUAACACAUGCCAGUCGAACGAACCUUUCGGGGUUAGUGGCGGACGGGUGCGUAACACGUGGGAACGUGCCUUUAGGUUCGGAAUAACUCAGGGAAACUUGUGCUAAUACCGAAUGUGCCCUUCGGGGGAAAGAUUAAUCGCCUUUAGAGCGGCCCGCGUCUGAUUAGCUAGUUGGUUGAGGUAAUGGCUCACCAAGGCGACGAUCAGUAGCUGGUCUGAGAGGAUGAUCAGCCACAUUGGGACUGAGACACGGCCCAAACUCCUACGGGAGGCAGCAGUGGGGAAUCUUGCGCAAUGGGCGAAAGCCUGACGCAGCCAUGCCGCGUGAAUGAUGAAGGUCUUAGGAUUGUAAAAUUCUUUCACCGGGGACGAUAAUGACGGUACCCGGAGAAGAAGCCCCGGCUAACUUCGUG